UGACGUCAUUUAAUCACGUGAUAAUCCUAGUAAAGCUACUCAUUUGGCAUGGUUAUCACACACCAAAAUAACCUAGAGGAAUCAAUGUUGUUAAAAACAAGUGUUAGAAUCUGUCCCUCGUUUUGGUACCAAAUGGCUCUUUCCAGGGUCCUGGCCCAUGGACUAAGUUUGGAGUGAUACAAAAUGCUAGGAGCGUGUGGCGUAAUACUCUUCCCCGUCCCCUCCCCGCUCCUCCUGGCUAUUUCCCAGUGAUCUCUUCGAGUGUAGUUCGUCCUCCAUUUUGGCACGUGUGAAGAAGAAUGGUGGAAAAUUAGGUUUUUCGUAAUUUCACAGAGUCAGGAGAUGGAAAAUGAAGACGGUUGUCUGUUUGUUGACAACCUCUGAAGACCUCCGGACGAAGAUCAGAUGCCAACAGAGACAAGGUGGUCCAAAGCUUGAACCAGUCAUCUUUAGAAAAACUGUAUGUUUUAUUUUGUAAUCCAACUCUUGGGGGAACCAGGUGAACAAAACUCUUGAAUAAGCCAAGUUCUGCCCUGACUAACUUAGUUCAGUCUUGCAAUGUACAUGGUAUUCUUCCAUGGUUGAUUUGCACAAUGAAGAGAAGAACUCUCAUAUAACAGUUUUUUAGCAGUACAGUUUCAAACCCAUCGUGACUUACUACCUGACCGACCAACUGACUUACUGACUGACUGACUGACUGACUGACUGAUGCAAGGAAUGACAAAGUGACGGACUUAGCGACUGACUCACUGAAAGACUGAUUUACAGAAUAAUGGACUGACUGACUGACUUACUGAUCUACUGAGUGACUGACAGAAUGGGAGACUGUCUGAUUGAUG
Orbicella faveolata is the source of this 839-nucleotide long non-coding RNA. RefSeq lists it as uncharacterized. The record is from RefSeq and is a predicted model, not a curated record. Lineage: Eukaryota; Metazoa; Cnidaria; Anthozoa; Scleractinia; Merulinidae.